This 321-nucleotide small nuclear RNA is filed under the name Nannospalax galili (Upper Galilee mountains blind mole rat). RNAcentral's name for it is "7SK RNA (ENSNGAG00000005633.1)". It matches the Rfam family "7SK RNA". Rfam says of the family: 7SK was discovered as an abundant small nuclear RNA in the mid-70s but a possible function has only recently been suggested. Two independent studies have found that 7SK RNA binds the CDK9/cyclin T complex (known as elongation factor P-TEFb). P-TEFb activates transcription by phosphorylating the C-terminal domain of RNA polymerase II. Lineage: Eukaryota; Metazoa; Chordata; Mammalia; Rodentia; Spalacidae. The record is from Rfam by way of RNAcentral.
UGAUGUGAGAGGAAUAUGGCUUCAAUAACUGUCACCCCAUUGAUCACCAUGGUUGACAGCUGAUCUGGCUGACUAGGCUGGUGUCCCCUUCUUCCCUCAACAUUCCACAUGUGUCCCUCCUGUGGCUCUGUCAAAGAGGAUGACCUUCCUUGUUAGAGGAGGACCAGUUUCUGGUCAAGGGUAUAUGAGCAGUUGUGCUCCCCUGCUAGAACCUCCAAACAGGCUCUCAAAUGUUUUGCUUUAGCAGUUUCAACAUUUCAGGUUUUGAAUUAAGGUUAUAGAAACAUUUUUAAAUGGAUUUGACUUAGUGAGUUUUUCAUU